RNAcentral lists this ribosomal RNA (243 nucleotides) under uncultured bacterium. RNAcentral describes it as "partial 16S ribosomal RNA". It matches the Rfam family "Bacterial small subunit ribosomal RNA", at positions 527 to 769 of the family's 1533-position model. The record is from RNAcentral.
GUAGGGGGCAAGCGUUAUCCGGAUUUACUGGGUGUAAAGGGAGCGUAGACGGCUGAGCAAGUCAGAAGUGAAAGCCCGGGGCUCAACCCCGGGACUGCUUUUGAAACUGUCCGGCUCGAGUGCAGGAGAGGUAAGCGGAAUUCCUAGUGUAGCGGUGAAAUGCGUAGAUAUUAGGAGGAACACCAGUGGCGAAGGCGGCUUGCUGGACUGUAACUGACGUUGAGGCUCGAAAGCGUGGGGAGC